This 916-nucleotide long non-coding RNA is filed under the name Homo sapiens (human). RNAcentral's name for it is "HSALNT0338395". The record is from RNAcentral. Lineage: Eukaryota; Metazoa; Chordata; Mammalia; Primates; Hominidae.
CUCAUUUUAGGUCGCAGCUUACCUUCGGCAUCCAUAGACCUGUCAAUUAGCCCUCUCCCUGUAUUCUGAUUCAUUUCCAGCAGCAGACGUGCCAAAGACUGGCAGGAACUCAGGGAAAUAUAUCCUGAGCACAGAGACUCACUGCUACCUCUAGGUCGAGAUGAGAUUUCUGUCGUGCAUUAAGCUAAUUUGGAUUGUGAAUGAAUACAAGUCCAGGAAGUCGAUUCUGAGACCCGAUACCCUGCGAGGGGAGUGCAGGAUAAGCAGGAGACAUUAAUUAGCGCUGCCUUAAGCAGUUUUACCGACGCAGGCGGGACUGUGGUGGAGCACUGGAGAUGCUGCGAGCCCUGAGCUGCCUUCACAGCCUUGUUGGGUGUGCUGCUGGAUCACACUGCAUGAGAAAUGGAAGCAACCUAUCUGUAAAGAGCCUGCAAACCUCAGGACGCUCUGGAAGCCAGUGGAAUAAUUACAGUGGGAUGAGGCUGCAAGUCCCCUUGCUUCCUGAGCUGCAUUCAUGGCUGUGUGAAGGGGAGAAAGGAAUACAUUUGAGGUCUUUUCAUGGAAGACACAGAUAUUUUAAUGUUGCGAUACCAUCCAACAGGGUGAGCUGAGAGAACCAACACUAAGAGUUUCACAGAUAGAACACCACUAUUCCCUGUGUAAAACAGGAGGUAGGCAGGCGUAGGCCUCCCCUGGAAAACAAUGUUUUAAGAGCUCAUAAAUACCUAGACGUCAAAUCAUCCUCGUUUCUAGUGUUUGUAUAGAUAUUUCCAAUAAUAUAUUUAGUGGGCUCACUUUUUUAUUUUGUGCAUUUAUCCUGGUUUAUUGUUUAUUUUUCCUGAAUUAUUGGCCAAUGAAUAUUUAUAUUAGAACAGAAAAAAAUAUAUUCUAAAAUUAAUGUCAUAAAAAUAAGUUA